This 1331-nucleotide ribosomal RNA is filed under the name metagenome. Its description in RNAcentral is "bacterial SSU rRNA". It matches the Rfam family "Bacterial small subunit ribosomal RNA", at positions 173 to 1498 of the family's 1533-position model. The record is from RNAcentral.
AUAUUCUGUGAGCAGGAAAGCAGGGGACCGCAAGGCCUUGCGCUCUUUGAGCGGCCGAUGUCAGAUUAGCUAGUUGGUGAGGUAAAGGCUUACCAAGGCGACGAUCUGUAGCGGGUCUGAGAGGAUGAUCCGCCACACUGGAACUGAGACACGGUCCAGACUCCUACGGGAGGCAGCAGUGGGGAAUUUUGGACAAUGGGGGCAACCCUGAUCCAGCCAUGCCGCGUGAGUGAAGAAGGCCUUCGGGUUGUAAAGCUCUUUCGGCCGGGAAGAAAUCGCAUGGGCCAAUACCCUGUGUGGAUGACGGUACCGGAAUAAGAAGCACCGGCUAACUACGUGCCAGCAGCCGCGGUAAUACGUAGGGUGCGAGCGUUAAUCGGAAUUACUGGGCGUAAAGCGUGCGCAGGCGGUUUUGUAAGACAGGCGUGAAAUCCCCGGGCUUAACCUGGGAACUGCGUUUGUGACUGCAAGGCUAGAGUACGGCAGAGGGGGGUGGAAUUCCACGUGUAGCAGUGAAAUGCGUAGAGAUGUGGAGGAACACCAAUGGCGAAGGCAGCCCCCUGGGUCGAUACUGACGCUCAUGCACGAAAGCGUGGGUAGCAAACAGGAUUAGAUACCCUGGUAGUCCACGCCCUAAACUAUGUCAACUAGGUGUUGGGUGGGUAAAACCAUUUAGUACCGUAGCUAACGCGUGAAGUUGACCGCCUGGGGAGUACGGCCGCAAGGUUAAAACUCAAAGGAAUUGACGGGGACCCGCGCAAGCGGUGGAUGAUGUGGAUUAAUUCGAUGCAACGCGAAAAACCUUACCUACCCUUGACAUGCCAGGAACUUGCCAGAGAUGGCUUGGUGCCCGAAAGGGAGCCUGGACACAGGUGCUGCAUGGCUGUCGUCAGCUCGUGUCGUGAGAUGUUGGGUUAAGUCCCGCAACGAGCGCAACCCUUGUCGUUAAUUGCCAUCAUUUAGUUGGGCACUUUAACGAGACUGCCGGUGACAAACCGGAGGAAGGUGGGGAUGACGUCAAGUCCUCAUGGCCCUUAUGGGUAGGGCUUCACACGUCAUACAAUGGUCGGUACAAAGGGUUGCCAAGCCGCGAGGCGGAGCCAAUCCCAGAAAGCCGAUCGUAGUCCGGAUUGCAGGCUGCAACUCGCCUGCAUGAAGUCGGAAUCGCUAGUAAUCGUGGAUCAGCAUGUCACGGUGAAUACGUUCCCGGGUCUUGUACACACCGCCCGUCACACCAUGGGAGCGGGUUCCGCCAGAAGUAGGUAGCCUAACCGCAAGGGGGGCGCUUACCACGGCGGGGUUCGUGACUGGGGUGAAGUCGUAACAAGGUA